Molecule: ribosomal RNA, 253 nt
Filed under: uncultured bacterium
Lineage: Bacteria
Description: partial 16S ribosomal RNA
Rfam family: Bacterial small subunit ribosomal RNA
Source: RNAcentral
UACAGAGGGGGCAAGCGUUGUUCGGAAUUACUGGGCGUAAAGGGCGCGUAGGCGGCCUGCUAAGUCGAACGUGAAAUCCCCGGGCUCAACCCGGGGACUGCGUCCGAUACUGGUUGGCUUGAAUUCGGGAGAGGGAUGCGGAAUUCCAGGUGUAGCGGUGAAAUGCGUAGAUAUCUGGAGGAACACCGGUGGCGAAGGCGGCAUCCUGGACCGGCAUUGACGCUGAGGCGCGAAAGCCAGGGGAGCAAACGGG